UUCCUGGUGGCUCAGACGGUAAAGCAUCUGCCUUCAAUGCGGGAGACCCAGGUUCAAUCCCUGGGUUGGGAA
Molecule: transfer RNA, 72 nt
Filed under: Ovis aries (sheep)
Lineage: Eukaryota; Metazoa; Chordata; Mammalia; Artiodactyla; Bovidae
Rfam family: tRNA
About the family: Transfer RNA (tRNA) molecules are approximately 80 nucleotides in length. Their secondary structure includes four short double-helical elements and three loops (D, anti-codon, and T loops).
Source: Rfam by way of RNAcentral